RNAcentral lists this ribosomal RNA (257 nucleotides) under uncultured bacterium. RNAcentral's name for it is "partial 16S ribosomal RNA". It matches the Rfam family "Bacterial small subunit ribosomal RNA", at positions 524 to 776 of the family's 1533-position model. The record is from RNAcentral.
UACAGAGGUCCCAAGCGUUGUUCGGAUUCAUUGGGCGUAAAGGGUGCGUAGACGGCAUGAUAAGUUAGCGGUGGGAAAUCGAGGCUCAACCUCGUGGAAGCUGGUAAUACUGUCAUGCUUGAGUAUAGGAGAGGUUAAUGGAACUCCCUGUGGAGCGGUAAAAUGCGUAGAUAUAGGGAAGAACAUCAAUAACGGCGAAGGCAGUUAACUAUUCUAUUACUGACGUUGAGAGCACGAAAGCGUGGGGAGCAAAACGG